This 1222-nucleotide ribosomal RNA is filed under the name Listeria monocytogenes. Its description in RNAcentral is "bacterial SSU rRNA". It matches the Rfam family "Bacterial small subunit ribosomal RNA", at positions 32 to 1236 of the family's 1533-position model. Lineage: Bacteria; Bacillati; Bacillota; Bacilli; Caryophanales; Listeriaceae. The record is from RNAcentral.
GGCAAUAGCGGCGUGCUAUACAUGCAGUCGAACGAACGGAGGAAGAGCUUGCUCUUCCAAUGUUAGUGGCGGACGGGUGAGUAACACGUGGGCAACCUGCCUGUAAGUUGGGGAUAACUCCGGGAAACCGGGGCUAAUACCGAAUAAUAAGAUGUGGCGCAUGCCACGCCUUUGAAAGAUGGUUUCGGCUAUCGCUUACAGAUGGGCCCGCGGUGCAUUAGCUAGUUGGUAGGGUAAUGGCCUACCAAGGCAACGAUGCAUAGCCGACCUGAGAGGGUGAUCGGCCACACUGGGACUGAGACACGUCCCAGACUCCCUACGGGAGGCAGGCAGUAGGGAAUCUUCCGCCAAUGACGAAAGUCUGACGGAGCAACGCCGCGUGUAUGAAGAAGGUUUUUCGAUCGUAAAGUACUGUUGUUAGAGAAGAACAAGGAUAAGAGUAACUGCUUGUCCCUUGACGGUAUCUAAACCAGAAAGCCACGGCUAACUACGUGCCAGCAGCCGCGGUAAUACGUAGGUGGCAAGCGUUGUCCGGAUUUAUUGGGCGUAAAGCGCGCGCAGGCGGUCUUUUAAGUCUGAUGUGAAAGCCCCCGGCUUAACCGGGGAGGGUCAUUGGAAACUGGAAGACUGGAGUGCAGAAGAGGAGAGUGGAAUUCCACGUGUAGCGGUGAAAUGCGUAGAUAUGUGGAGGAACACCAGUGGCGAAGGCGACUCUCUGGUCUGUAACUGACGCUGAGGCGCGAAAGCGUGGGGAGCAAACAGGAUUAGAUACCCUGGUAGUCCACGCCGUAAACGAUGAGUGCUAAGUGUUAGGGGGUUUCCGCCCCUUAGUGCUGCAGCUAACGCAUUAAGCACUCCGCCUGGGGAGUACGACCGCAAGGUUGAAACUCAAAGGAAUUGACGGGGGCCCGCACAAGCGGUGGAGCAUGUGGUUUAAUUCGAAGCAACGCGAAGAACCUUACCAGGUCUUGACAUCCUUUGACCACUCUGGAGACAGAGCUUUCCCUUCGGGGACAAAGUGACAGGUGGUGCAUGGUUGUCGUCAGCUCGUGUCGUGAGAUGUUGGGUUAAGUCCCGCAACGAGCGCAACCCUUGAUUUUAGUUGCCAGCAUUUAGUUGGGCACUCUAAAGUGACUGCCGGUGCAAGCCGGAGGAAGGUGGGGAUGACGUCAAAUCAUCAUGCCCCGUUAUGACCUGGGCUACACACGUGCUACAAUGGAUG